This 1035-nucleotide long non-coding RNA is filed under the name Cricetulus griseus (Chinese hamster). Its description in RNAcentral is "lncRNA (ENSCGRG00015039490.1)". Lineage: Eukaryota; Metazoa; Chordata; Mammalia; Rodentia; Cricetidae. The record is from RNAcentral.
AAGUUUUUUGUUGUUGUUGUUUUUUUGUGAGUUUCCUCAUCUAAAGCUCUUUUGAGAUGGCACCUCUAAGCUAAGUACAGUGUUCCUGAUAUACUUACUCCAAUUGGAGCAUCCCACCGGUACUAUUUCCCAUGUAUAAUUCAUGGAGGUGCUAUGAAAGCCAGUAUCUCCCAUGAAUGACUCUGAUAUUCUGAAAAUGAGACUAUGGCAUGUGGUCUUGUUUCCUGGUCAGCCUUAGAUGGUCAAAACCCAGCACCCUCCUGCCCAAAUCUCUUCUGGACUCACACCUGUCUCCUCGGAGAUGAACUGGAGACCUACCCUCUGCUUAGCAGAUACAACAAGAAACUGAGCCAGUCUCCUGGGAAGUGACGACUACUUGCAUGUAGCUGAGUGAUAAGGACUUGUUGUAGAAUGAGGACCUUCAUCUUGAGUGUGGAUUUAACCAGUUGGACAACAAAAGAGUCAGCAAGUGGUGAGUGGUGGAUUGUGAGAACCAAGGACCUGCCUUUCUUCCUGCUCUCCCUUCUGAGCAUUGUCACCAAGCAGUGUGUUCAUUUACUUGCUAUCUUGUCUCCUUUGCUGAUGUUUCAUGUGUCAACAUCUCCUUGUUAACAAGAUUCUUGUGAUCUUGGCUCACAUUUUUACAACCUACUUGGAGUCUCUGAAAUCACAGUGCCAGAGUUGGGAUCCCUUAGCACCUGAUGACCUCAUCAGCAGAGCUAAUAAGCCUAAGUUCAGGCAGUGCCAAGCCCCAUCAAGGAUGUGCAGGAAAACCUACCAUGCCCUGCAUGAAAUAAGACACCAGAACUCCGAGACAUAAUUUUUAUGUGUGUUAACAUACAGUAAAAACCAGUGAUCCUUCUAUACCUCCGGUUUCUUUUUGUUUUCGGCUACUUUUUGUUUUCCAUGCUUUGACACAUGAAAAAUUGAUACAAUGGGGCUGGAGAGAUAGCUCAGUGGUUAAGAGAAUGCACUGCUUUUUCCAGAGGUCAGGAGUUCGGUUGUCACUGCAUAUAUGGGACAAAUAACAACUGC